This 387-nucleotide long non-coding RNA is filed under the name Sorghum bicolor (sorghum). RNAcentral's name for it is "long non-coding RNA (SBIC_LNC008952)". Lineage: Eukaryota; Viridiplantae; Streptophyta; Magnoliopsida; Poales; Poaceae. The record is from RNAcentral.
GCCCCGACACGUGGGGCCCACCUGCCAGAGAGAGGGAGAGAGGGAGAGAGGAGGGGAGAGGAGAGGGAGUCGCGGGCUGGGCCGGGAAGGGUAGGGAGAAGCGAUUUUCUUUUUUUUUACUUUAGUAAUUUAUUUGUUUAGUGAAAUAUAUGUAUGUAUUAUUUAUAAUUAUUAUUUCAUAUGUGAUUAUGUUAAAUGCUUGUUAUUUCAUAUGUUAAAUACAUAUUAUUUUAUAUGUGAUUAUGUUGUGUAGAAAUAUAUGUAUGUAUUAUUUGUAUAGAAAUAUAUGUAUGUAUUAUUUAUAAUUAUUAUUUCAUAUGUGAUUAUGUUAAAUACUUGUUAUUUCAUAUGUUAAAUACUUAUUAUUUCAUAUGUGAUUAUGUUGUA